This 532-nucleotide ribosomal RNA is filed under the name uncultured fungus. RNAcentral's name for it is "eukaryotic LSU rRNA". The stretch from base 192 to 345 matches the Rfam family "5.8S ribosomal RNA". Lineage: Eukaryota; Fungi. The record is from RNAcentral.
AAGUCGUAACAAGGUCUCCGUUGGUGAANCNNNGGAGGGAUCAUUACAGGAUGCAACACUCCCGUAACCACUGUGAACCUACCUACCACGUUGCCUCGGCGGGUGCUGGCUCGCCCAGCGCUCAGCCUGCCGGUGGCCUACAACUCUGUCUCAUCUGCGUUGGCAUCUCCGAGAAAACACAAACGAAUCAAAACUUUCAACAACGGAUCUCUUGGUUCUGGCAUCGAUGAAGAACGCAGCGAAAUGCGAUAAGUAAUGUGAAUUGCAGAAUUCAGUGAAUCAUCGAAUCUUUGAACGCACAUUGCGCCCGCCAGCACUCUGGCGGGCAUGCCUGUUCGAGCGUCAUUACAACCCUCAGGCCCUGCCUGGUGUUGGGGCCCUGCGCUUGCAGGCCCUCAAAGACAGCGGCGGGUGCGCCCGGAACCGAACGUAGUAGCUUACUCUCGUUUUGGAACCGCGGCGCGCUCCGGCCGUAAAAACCCCAACUUACGUUAGUUGACCUCGGAUCAGGUAGGAAUACCCGCUGAACUUA